RNAcentral lists this ribosomal RNA (468 nucleotides) under uncultured bacterium. RNAcentral describes it as "partial 16S ribosomal RNA". It matches the Rfam family "Bacterial small subunit ribosomal RNA", at positions 28 to 507 of the family's 1533-position model. The record is from RNAcentral.
GACGAACGCUGGCGGCGUGCUUAACACAUGCAAGUCGAACGGAAAGGCCCUGCUUUUGUGGGGUGCUCGAGUGGCGAACGGGUGAGUAACACGUGAGUAACCUGCCCUUGACUUUGGGAUAACUUCAGGAAACUGGGGCUAAUACCGGAUAGGAGCUCCUGCUGCAUGGUGGGGGUUGGAAAGUUUCGGCGGUUGGGGAUGGACUCGCGGCUUAUCAGCUUGUUGGUGGGGUAGUGGCUUACCAAGGCUUUGACGGGUAGCCGGCCUGAGAGGGUGACCGGCCACAUUGGGACUGAGAUACGGCCCAGACUCCUACGGGAGGCAGCAGUGGGGAAUAUUGCACAAUGGGCGGAAGCCUGAUGCAGCAACGCCGCGUGAGGGAUGACGGCCUUCGGGUUGUAAACCGCUUUCGCCUGCGAAGAAGCGUGAGUGACGGUAAUGGGUAAAGAAGCACCGGCUAACUACGUG